Long non-coding RNA from Andrographis paniculata, 3077 nucleotides. RefSeq lists it as uncharacterized. The transcript is spliced from 6 exons. The record is from RefSeq and is a predicted model, not a curated record. NCBI's taxonomy places the organism in Eukaryota, Viridiplantae, Streptophyta, Magnoliopsida, Lamiales, Acanthaceae.
AUGCGAAACAAACAGAGUUUGGCGGUGGAGUUCGUUGAAUCCACCUGCUUUGUAGCAACUGUAGGAUAAAAACUGUUCGUUGGUUUCCACAUUCCACUCCAUGGGAGAGGUUAGCUUUGACGUAAUCAAUUCUGAAGCUAAUUACAGAAUGUUUAUUUGGGCCUAAUUGGGUAACCCGACCCAUUCUAUAUUGGGCCUAUUAAUUAGGCCCCAUAAUAUCCGCAAUUUGUCGACGUGGGGGCACUUUUACAAUUUUACAUAACUACAGGGAGUAAAUGGAAAUUUCUGCAGGCAGCUGGCAGCUCCUUGAUGCACCCACUAGCAGAUGAGGGAAGAACUCUGCUCUGCUGAAGACGAUGAUAGUUCCGAGACUGGAAGGAUGCCUGCGGCUGCUGAGACUGGCGAUAGAAGUAGCGAUCAUGCUUGUUGAAGCUGUUGAAUGGAUGUUUUUCGAAGCAAAUUCGAUGCUGUCUUCGAUUCCUGACUAUCCACUUCUGCUUCCGCUUAUUGAUAUUGUUCCUUAAUUUUUGUCCGGGAGCUGACUUGGGCUGCGUUUUGAUUGAAGAACCGGUGAAUAGUAGUAUCUUUAUGUAUUUUUAGCAUCAGUGCAAUUAGUUGCUUGUGGAGAUUGUGCUUGUCACAUAUGCUGGCUUUCUCCGUACAUUUGGAUAUGUAUAGUGUAAUUGUAAUUGUAAUUGUAUAGUUUUGUUUGUGAACGAGUUCCACUGAAGGUACGAUGAUUCGGUCUUGGUUGUUGCCAUAAUUGAAGAAAUUUUGUCUAUCAAGGUGUUGGAUCUGGGAGGAGCAGUUUUUAUUAGACUUGAAUUUGAUGGUUGGGGAUCUGUACUGCUUAAUUUGGUUUUUGUGAAGUAUUUCUUAAGGCUGAGUAUUAGCAGACUUGGGGAUUCGAAUUGGAAACGCAAAAGAUUUUUCAGUGUUCUUGAGCUAUUGCUAGUAGAGGAAGAUACAUGUAAAGGUAAAAGAAUAAAGAGGAUUACUGACUUACUGUGUAUUUCUUAGUAUCAUGUUAACCAAGGGAUUAGUUUAACUAUUCAUUGUCUGGUUUUUGACAUUGAUAUUUCAACAUGAAUCUGUUGGCAGGUUCCAAAUUUAAUGGGUCUGGCCUUUGUCGCCACACCACUAAUUAUCUUGUUUAGAUAUUUAACUCCUGUACGUUUAUUAUUGGUUUCCACUUGCCAGCAGUCUUUCUGUUUGAAUCACCAUGUUUAUCCAAAUAAGAAAUUCAUCUACAUUCCACAAAGGAAUCUUUACUAUGUGUGAGGGGCCCAGCUCCAUAAGGUACAUCUCUUUAAGGUUUUGAAAACUUAAUCCAUGACACUGUUGAGAUAUAUCUUUCAGUUCUAUGUUAUACUUUGGGUAUCUUGCAAGAUUCAUUAUUUAUUACUCAAUUGAAAAUACUUUAGAGGAGCAUCAUAUGUUGAGCCAUUUUCCCCUCAUAGCUUGUUUAGUACAACUCAUAAUAUACUUUCAAGAAUACUUCUGAGCAAUCAGAAGCAGAUUGUGAAACAACUCAGUUGGUUUAGACAUCAUAGCCAUGUGGUCAGAUGCUUUCACUACUUUAACUACAUCUGGGGGGUUGUGUUUGGUCAUCCAUAGCUGCAGCUCUUUCUUUGCAACAUUGUCUUCAUCUGUCAUGAUGUAAACUCGUUUAACUGAUCCAUACUUGUUACUUGAUAAUACUAGCUCUGUGGACAUGUCUUCUUCUGUGUACAGAUAUAUUGGCCGCACCAACAUUGUUGCUAGUGUCCAAUCCUGCCAUAGACACAGGGUAUGCAAGAUAAAGGAUGUUUUACAGAGGGAGGCUGGUGUUACCUGGAAAGGGCUUAGCUGAUACAUUUUCACUAACAGAUACUUGGGUCCCAACAAUAAUGUAGUUGGAGGAUUGUUGGUUCCAUUGUUGAAUGAAUAUUGGCUGUCCAAAAGAGAACCUUCUUGACUUCUCAAGGACUGCAAAUAGAAAAGAGGAAGAACUAUGGGACUGAGUUACUGAAGACUUGAUCUGUUUUUCCUGGAUUUCUUCAAGGUGAAUUAAUAAAACCAAGGGCCUGUAAGGAAUACAUACCUUCCUACUGAGGGUGGAGAUGUUGAGAAAUGGGCCAGGCAUCAAAGCUGCCACAAAAACACCAACACAAAUCUUCUCUGGAUAUUUCUCCAUAGCUUGAGAUAUGGCUAAUCCACCAGAGCUAUGAGCUACAAGAAUCACCUUUUGUCUUGCAGGAACAGAAGCCAUGAAAUCCAUGAGUGGCCUGAAGUAAUUAGACAGAGUUGGCACAUCAAGGACCUGUUCUGGAUUGAUCCCAGAAGCAGCCAUGUCAAGGGCUGUAACAUUCUGGCCUGAUGAUCUCAGCAACCCCACUAUCUUGUACCAGCACCAGGCUCCAUGCCCAGAUCCAUGAACAAGGACAAAGUUCUCAGCAGUUGUCUUCUGGAAAGGAAACAUCACGAGGAAAAUAAACAUCAAGGAUUUUAUACAAAGCUGUCAUUAUUAAUAACACCUACUUAUUACAACCAUGGAGAAAAACAAGAUCUGUCUUCUAAAGCUUGAAAUGAUGCACUUGAAUGUUUUCAGUGGUGAGCUUCUUGAAAUUACUGAGUUUCCUGGUUGCAUAAAACUUUCCCCAGCUGUAUCCUUUGUAUUUAGCUGGACUUUGCUCACUGACCAACUCCUCCAGGGGCUGUAUCCAUACGUCGUGUGAAGGAUUUAUGAAAUGACUUGCUUUCAUAUACCUGGAUAAGGUCACCGACAUUGACAAUAUAAGCAUCAGGAGUUGGCUUGACAAAGAUCCACUCUCCAUCAGAUUUCCUCUUCACUUCAAGUCCUCCUACGUCGUCCUGAAGCAGGAUUGUCAUUGCACCGGCAUCCUUAUGCCUUCCAAGGCCAAGUGCUAGCUCAGGAGCUGGACAAGGUGGGUAAUAAUUCAGCCUCAUGAAACUUGUCUGAUUCUUAAAUAAGCUAUGCAGCCGAUCUUCCGGAAGUCCCAUGCUCAAGGCUAUCAGCCCGAGCAACUUGUAAGUGAGCUUUUGCAUUUCUGCUGAGUACAUUUCACACACGUCUC